Molecule: ribosomal RNA, 254 nt
Filed under: uncultured bacterium
Lineage: Bacteria
Description: partial 16S ribosomal RNA
Rfam family: Bacterial small subunit ribosomal RNA
Source: RNAcentral
UACAGGGGGUGCAAACGUUGCUCGGAAUUAUUGGGCGUAAAGCGCGCGUAGGCGGCUACUUAAGUCGGAUGUGAAAGCCCCUGGCUCAACUGGGGAAGUGCACCCGAAACUGAGUGGCUUGAGUGCGAAAGAGGGUCGCGGAAUUCCCGGUGUAGAGGUGAAAUUCGUAGAUAUCGGGAGGAACACCGGUGGCGAAGGCGGCGACCUGGGUCGACACUGACGCUGAGUGAGCGAAAGCCAGGGGAGCAAACGGG